RNAcentral lists this unclassified non-coding RNA (295 nucleotides) under uncultured fungus. Its description in RNAcentral is "sequence contains ITS2". The record is from RNAcentral. Lineage: Eukaryota; Fungi.
AACGCACCUUGCGCUCCUUGGUAUUCCGAGGAGUAUGCCUGUUUGAGUGUCAUGGUAUUCUCAAUCCAUCUGGUUUUGUCAAAGGAAUUCAGUUGGACUUGGAUAUGGAGGUUUUUGCUGGUCCUUAAAGAUCGGCUCCUCUGAAAUGCAUCAGUAUGAAUAGAAUGCUGUCUUCAGUGUGAUAAUUAUCUACGCUGUUAGGCUUUGCUAUUCUUGCUUCAAAUCGUCUGCUUGCUUCAGACAAAUUUCAUUGACAUCUGACCUCAAAUCAGGUAGGACUACCCGCUGAACUUAA